CUGUUAAUAACCCCGAAAACACCAACUACCAAACAACAAAUCAUUUUCCCCUCUAAGUAUAGGCGAUAGAAAAGAAACUCAUUAGAGCUAUAGAAAAAGUACCGCAAGGGAAUGCUGAAAAAGAAAUGAAAUAAAUCAGUAAAGUUCAAAAAAGCAGAGACUUACACUCGUACCUUUUGCAUCAUGACUUAGUCAGUAUAAACCAAGCAAAGAGCACUUUAGUUUGAUUCCCCGAAACUAGGUGAGCUACUCCAAGACAGCCUAAAAAUAGGGCUAACCCGUCUCUGUGGCAAAAGAGUGGGGAGAUCUUAGAGUAGAGGUGAUAAACCUACCGAACUUAGUUAUAGCUGGUUGCCUAAAAAAUGAAUAGGAGUUCAGCUUUUUGGUUCUCCCCCUCAAAAAUUACUUUGUUUAUACCUGACCCAAGAGACACCAAAAAAGUUAAUUAAAGGAGGUACAGCUCCUUUAAAACAAGAUACAACUUCACUCAGUCGGGUAGAGAUCAUAAUUAUAUAAGGCAAAUAUGUUUUAGUGGGCCUGAAAGCAGCCACCUAUAAGAAAGCGUUAAAGCUCAUUCAUACCCCCGCCCCUAAUUUAGAUAACAAAUCUAAACCCACUAAUUUUAUUAGGCCGCCCCAUGCUUACAUGGGGGCGACUAUGCUAACAUGAGUAAUAAGAAAAGACAGCUUUUCUCCUUGCACACCUGUAAAUCGAAACGGACCCCCCAUCGAACUUUAAUCGGCCCCAAAAAAAGAGGGUAAUGAGCCAAAAUCUCAGUAACAAGAAAAACACCCAAAUACCAACCGUUAACCCCACACUGGUGUGCUUACAAGGAAAGACUAAAAGAAAAAGAAGGAACUCGGCAAAUACAAGCCUCGCCUGUUUACCAAAAACACCGCCUCUUGUAUAUAGAAAAUAAGAGGUCA
This 926-nucleotide ribosomal RNA is filed under the name Betta miniopinna. RNAcentral describes it as "partial 16S ribosomal RNA". The stretch from base 152 to 926 matches the Rfam family "Bacterial large subunit ribosomal RNA", at positions 568 to 1847 of the family's 2925-position model. The record is from RNAcentral. Lineage: Eukaryota; Metazoa; Chordata; Actinopteri; Anabantiformes; Osphronemidae.